RNAcentral lists this unclassified non-coding RNA (1031 nucleotides) under Hevea brasiliensis (rubber tree). Lineage: Eukaryota; Viridiplantae; Streptophyta; Magnoliopsida; Malpighiales; Euphorbiaceae. The record is from RNAcentral.
AUAUAUAUAUAUAUAUAAUCCAAUUGAAGAUUUCUAUUUCAUUUUUAUAUAUAUCCAAGACUUUGUUACCAUUUUCAUUUUUCACCAAUCUGAGAGUCAAAGGAAACCUAAAUAGAUUAAAUCAGACAAAAAACUUUAGGAAGAUACUGAGAAGUCAAAUUAUGUAGAAGAAAACAAAGCUAAACUGCCAAAAAUAUUUUCUUAUAAAGUCAAUUCUACCAUAGCCUCCAAAUACUUGUGCAAUGAUCAUUGUAUCAUAUUGAUAUAUGAGAUCAUUAGAGCUAUUUCUAUCAUAAUGGUGAAUAAUAGACCUUCAUAAACACAUAAAAUGUGCAGUGGGGUACAAUGGGUGACCUGUUUAAAAUCUAUGCAUAAAUGCUAUGCAUCAGCCCCUUAUCAAAUCAGAAAAAUCAAUAAAUAUAGAACUCCAGAAAACUAAAAUUUGAGAAACACUGAUUGGAGAGGAUAAACAACAAAGCAGCAUGUGUUCAUCUCUGGCAGGGAGAGAAGAAGAAGGUUACUGCCAUAAACUGAAUAACCGAAAUCAACCUGCUGCCCACUUUCCCUUGUGCAACAUAAAAAUGCAAGUUACUGGCAUUCUAUAGGCCCUUCAGAGGUUAAAACCAUAUCGCUUCAGAUUGCAACGCAGACCAACUAUAAUCAAUUUGUCAUGGUGUUGAGUUAAUAUAAAAAGCAAAAGAGAAAAGUUAACAUAUUUUUAAGUCAACUACUCGUUGCAAAGUGAACUUUAUCAGAAUCUCUGGUAUAUACAUAUUUGUAACUUCCCCUCUAUUGAGUUAUGGCUCAUAUUUGUUAGAGGGGAAUUUAUUGUUCAGUACAGGACCCAGCAAAGGAGAGGAGCUCCGUGACAAGGGGCAGAAUGCUAUUUGCAUUAGGAAUCCUGGGUGCAUGAGGAUUAGAUUAUUAUAAAUAGGGUUGCAAUAUUCUCCUUUCAGUAGUGAAAAAACAAGAGACUUUCUGCAGAUGUAGGCACACUUGCCAAACCAUAAAAUGUUAUUGUGUUCGUUUUC